UCGAGCGGUAAGGCCCUUCGGGGUACACGAGCGGCGAACGGGUGAGUAACACGUGAGCAACCUACCCUCAACUUCGGGAUAAGCCUCGGAAACGGGGUCUAAUACCGGAUAUCACUUCUGCCUUCAUGGGUGGGGGUUGAAAGUUCUGGCGGUUGGGGAUGGGCUCGCGGCCUAUCAGCUUGUUGGUGGGGUAAUGGCCUACCAAGGCGUCGACGGGUAGCCGGCCUGAGAGGGCGACCGGCCACACUGGGACUGAGACACGGCCCAGACUCCUACGGGAGGCAGCAGUGGGGAAUAUUGCGCAAUGGACGAAAGUCUGACGCAGCAACGCCGCGUGAGGGAUGACGGCCUUCGGGUUGUAAACCUCUUUCAGCAGGGACGAAGCGAGAGUGACGGUACCUGCAGAAGAAGGACCGGCCAACUACGUGCCAGCAGCCGCGGUAAUACGUAGGGUCCGAGCGUUGUCCGGAAUUAUUGGGCGUAAAGGGCUCGUAGGCGGUUCGUCACGUCGGGAGUGAAAACUCGGAGCUCCACUCCGAGCCUGCUUCCGAUACGGGCAGACUAGAGGUAGGCAGGGGAGAGCGGAACUCCUGGUGUAGCGGUGGAAUGCGCAGAUAUCAGGAAGAACACCGGUGGCGAAGGCGGCUCUCUGGGCCUUACCUGACGCUGAGGAGCGAAAGCGUGGGUAGCGAACAGGAU
RNAcentral lists this ribosomal RNA (699 nucleotides) under Kribbella sp. SR-449. RNAcentral's name for it is "bacterial SSU rRNA". It matches the Rfam family "Bacterial small subunit ribosomal RNA", at positions 62 to 778 of the family's 1533-position model. Lineage: Bacteria; Bacillati; Actinomycetota; Actinomycetes; Propionibacteriales; Kribbellaceae. The record is from RNAcentral.